CAUUUGGGAGCGAUGCUCUUCAAAUACUUCAUCACCGGCCCUCUCAGUUCCACUGCAGACGCUUGCUGACCUCAUCGAGUGACCUCACCAAUCACAGAUCAAAGUCUUUGGGUUUCUGGCUGGUCAGGUUAAUCAGCGGACCACCCUGGAAAACCAAUCAGGUAAUUGAAUAAAUUCCCAGAGCUCUGUGUGGAAUUAGAAGAAGCGAGACUUUGGUCAGUGGAGAGCUUUUAAGAAACCAGGGAACGUACAUCAGAGGCCAAGCAGUCGAUGGUUGCGGUGUGUUUGUGAGUCUCUUGGGCGACAUCCAUCAGCUGAAUGGAUAGGGGCUAUGCAACAGCAGCGCCACAGCAAACCGAGGGCAGGGCGUAUUCCCUUUCCAAAAUCCACAGAAACACCGGUCUGGAAUCAAUCUGCUAUCUCACUACUUGCCUCAAAACACACACAAACACACACAAUUUAAUCUUUAACCCUGGUGAGACUGGUCCAUGCUGUUUUUCAUCCCUGUAAGUUUAUGCGCUGUAAUAUUGUAUCAGGUCUGGGAUAUGGUUCUCCGCUAGAUCUCUGACUUCACCUGCUGCUGAAGCUCUUUACCAGAGCACUGGGAGCUAACUGCUGCCAUAAAUAGUCAGAGGAGUGUGUACAGCCAUCUGCAGGGCAAAGAUAUAUCUCGACAGGAAAAGAGCAAAUCUCCUCUCCAUGCUACCUGCUGUAAAAGGUUAAACCUUCACAUCAGAGACAAGUUGAUUUUUGAAAAAGUAAAGAAAUAAAUAAAGAGAAGUAUGUGAGGUGUCUACGGCACACAUAAUAGAUUGCACAUGGACAGAGCAUUUACGCCAUGCCAUAAAUCAAGUCAGUCCAGCGUGCAGGAGUAUUGACAUUCAUUUUGAAUUUUUGAAGCCAUGUCUUUGAUUUUAUCUAACUUUUGAGACAGUUUGACCUGAGAAGAUAUUUCAAUCUAACCAGAACUGCAUGUCAUUGUGUUCUUGUGUGCAGUAUGUAUUAAGCAGUAUACUAAGUACAGUUUGACAUGAGUAGAGAUACAAACACAAUACACAAAUAGGGUUUAAAUAGCACAUGUAUAUGCACUAUUGAAAAUAAAGAAAGUUAGGUAAGGCCCAAGAUUGAUGAAGUGUAGAAGAAGAAAAGACACAUGUGUUUAUAAUGUCAGAUGGGCUCUGUAAAGUGCAAUGGGUGUAAUAAAAAAAACUAAAAUAAAUGGUGGAUUAUGAGAUAUUUUCAAUCCUCUGGUGACCAUGAAUGUACGUAAAUGUGUGCUACAUCUGAUGAAAAUAUGCACAUCAGAUAUGACCUGGUAUUUGUUUUUUUCAAGCAGAAAUGUUGGACCGAUAUCUAAAGGAUCACUAACGGAAAACCAAAAUGUCUGACCAAAAUCUUAAGACUCAUCCACAAAUAUCCAAAGCACAUUUAAUGGAAAUCUGGCAAUUAUAGUCUUGUGCUGGUUGUGUGACCGACCAACCAACAUCACCAGCAUUAGUCAUGAGUCAUGACACUAGAGGCACAAAAAAGAUUAUUUAUACAAAGCUAAAAACGACACAUUGUUCUAUUAAGGACUAUUAAAGGCAUCUGUAGCAUCUUUAUUGUUGAGCAAAAUCAUGUCUAUUUACCUAAAAGAAAAAGGAGGGUUUGAUUUCAACUAAUCGAUUAGAUCAGCGGUUCCCAAACUUU
Long non-coding RNA from Anarrhichthys ocellatus (wolf-eel), 1689 nucleotides. RefSeq lists it as uncharacterized. The transcript is spliced from 3 exons. The record is from RefSeq and is a predicted model, not a curated record. Lineage: Eukaryota; Metazoa; Chordata; Actinopteri; Perciformes; Anarhichadidae.